AUGAACUGCUGCUGCCGCGUCUGUCGUCCAGACCUUGGGUUUGCCUUAUUUGGCCGCCUCCUAAGGACAGGCCUCAAAACAGAUGAUAUCGUCACCAACACCCUCCUCAAGUGCCUCUGCUGCGCAAAACGGACAGACGAGGCUGUCAGCGUGCUGCUUCAUAGGAUGUCCAAGCUUGGUUGUGUGCCUGAUGCCAUCUCAUACAACACAGUUCUUAAGAGCUUAUGUGAUAAUAGCAGCAGCCAGCGGGCGCUCGACCUCCUUCAGAUGAUGACGAAAGGAGGUGGCUGCUCCCCUGACGUAGUGACAUACAACACGGUCAUCCAUGGCUUCCUGCAGGAAGGGGAAGUAAGCAAGGCAUGCGAUCGAUACCAUGAAAUGGUGCAGCAAGGGGUUCUGCAUGAUGUGGUGACAUAUAAUUCGAUUCUUGAUGCGCUGUGCAAGGCAGGAGCUAUGGACAAGGCUGAGUUGUUCCUUCGGCAGAUGGUUGAUGAUGAUAUUCGACCGAAUGAAGUGACAUAUAAUGCAAUGAUCCAUGGAUAUUCCACUUUGGGCCAGUGGAAAAGGGCGACUCAAAUGUUUAGAGAAAUGACAAGCCGUGGUCUUGCUCCAAAUAUUGUUACUUGGAGCUCGUUGAUGACCUCCCUCUGCAAGCAUGGAAGAAGCAAAGAAGCUGCAGAAAUUUUUCAUUCCAUGGCUGCAAAAGGCCACAAGCCUAACAUCGUUACGUAUCGUGUUCUGCUUCACGGGUAUGCCGCUGAGGGAUUCUUUGCAGAUAUGAUUGAUCUCUUUAAUUCAAUCGCAAACAAUGGUAUUGUACCCGAUUGCCACGUUUUCAACAUAUUAAUUAAUGCAUAUGCUAAAUGUGGAAUGAUGGAUGAAGCUAUGUCAAUGCUUACUGAAAUGCGGGGACAAGGAGUGAGUCCGGAUGUGUUCACCUAUGCAACUGUAAUAGCUGCACUUUGCAGAAUGGGUAGGUUGACUGAUGUUAUGGACAAUUUUAAUCGGAUGAUUGGGAAGGGAGUACAACCGAGCAAAGUUGUUUAUCACUCCCUAAUUCAGGGUUUCUGUACGCUUGGUGAUCUGGUGAAAGUGAAGAAGUUGAUUUUUGAAAUAACGGACAAAGGUAUUCCUCACCCUAACAUUGUCUUCUUCAGUUCAAUAAUGCAUAGUCUGUGCAACGAAGGAAGGGUUAUGGACGCACACCAUAUCUUUGACUUGGUUAUAGACAUUGGUGAGAGACCUGAUCUCAUUACAUUUAAUAUGCUGAUUGACGGAUAUUGCUUAGUCAGCAAGAUGGAGGAAGCACUCCGACUACUUGAUUCCAUGGUAUCAGCUGGCAUUAAGCCAAAUGUGAUUACAUAUAAUACACUUAUUAAUGGCUAUUGUAGGAGUGGAAGGCUUGAUGAUGGCGUUAUUCUAUUCAGAGAAAUGUUGCAUACCAGAGUUAAACCUAACACUGUUACAUAUAACAUCAUACUGGAUGGGUUAUUUCGUGCUGGAAGAACUGUUGCUGCAAAAAAGAUGUUCCAUGAGAUGAUCGAAACUGGAACAGCAGUGAGCAUUUCCACAUACAGCAUAGUUCUUGGAGGACUUUGUAGGAAUAACUGCACCGAUGAAGCAAUCGCUUUUUUCCAGAAAUUAGUUGCAAUGAAUGUGAAGUUCGAUAUUGUGAUACUCAAUACCAUGAUUAAGGCAAUGUACAAGGUUCAGAGAAGAGAAGAAGCUAACGAUUUGUUUGCUUCAUUACCAGCCUGUGGGCUGGUACCUAAUGCCUCUACUUACGGAGUAGUAAUACAGAAUCUUCUGAAAGAAGGAUCGUUGGAAGAAGCUGACAAUAUGUUUUCAUCAAUGGAGAAGAGUGGUUGUGCUCCAAGCUCUCGUCUUGUAAAUGAUAUCACCAGAAAAUUAUUGGAAAAGGGGGAGAUAGUCAAGGCCGGAAAUUAUAUGUCGAAAGUUGACGGGAAGAUCAUCUCCUUUGAAGCUUCAACCACUUCGUUGUUGUUGUCUCUCUUUUCGGAGAAAGGCAAAUAUCGGGAACAAUUACAAUUGCUCCCCGCGAAAUACCAAUUUUUUGAGGGAGUCAUU
RNAcentral lists this ribosomal RNA (2088 nucleotides) under Triticum aestivum (bread wheat). Its description in RNAcentral is "partial small subunit ribosomal RNA". Lineage: Eukaryota; Viridiplantae; Streptophyta; Magnoliopsida; Poales; Poaceae. The record is from RNAcentral.